CCUACGGGAGGCAGCAGUGAGGAAUAUUGGUCAAUGGCCGGAAGGCUGAACCAGCCAAGCCGCGUGAAGGACGAAGGUGCCAAGCAUUGUAAACUUCUUUUGUCAAGGGACAAAAUCAGGCUCGAGAGCCUGACCGAGGGUACUUGAAGACAAAGCAUCGGCUACCUCCGUGCCCGCAGCCGCGGUAAUACGGAGGAUUCGAGCGUUUUCCGGAUUGAUUGGGGUUCAAGGGUGCGUAGGCGGGCUGUUAAGUCAGCGGUAACAGCCCGGGGAUCAACCCCGGCGAGCCGUGGAAACGGGCUGUCGUGAGAUGUCGAGAGGUAUGCGGAAUGCGCAGUGUAGCGGUGAAAUGCUUAGAUAUUGCGAAGAACUCCGAUUGCGAAGGCAGCAUACCGGCGGCGAUCUGACGCUGAGGCACGAAAGCGUGGGUAUCGAACAGGAUUAGAUACCCCGGUAGUC
Molecule: ribosomal RNA, 459 nt
Filed under: uncultured bacterium
Lineage: Bacteria
Description: partial 16S ribosomal RNA
Rfam family: Bacterial small subunit ribosomal RNA
Source: RNAcentral